RNAcentral lists this long non-coding RNA (2306 nucleotides) under Volvox carteri. RNAcentral's name for it is "long non-coding RNA (VCAR_LNC002394)". Lineage: Eukaryota; Viridiplantae; Chlorophyta; Chlorophyceae; Chlamydomonadales; Volvocaceae. The record is from RNAcentral.
CGCAGCUCGCCGCCUCUGCAUGAGGGGCAUGGGGGGCCCCUGUCAUUCCGGCCCCAGACAUCAGCUGCUAGCUGCAAAUAUUUAAGCAACAUAAUACACAAUUGAUAAAAUAGGAUAUGGACGUAUGAUUAAGUAAUAAAUAGUAAUAAUCGUAAAUUAAUAAUAAUAAUAAUAAUAAUAAUGAUAAAUAACGGUUUGGCUUGCGAUCGGAACACACAUACACACAAGCGUACGCGCACAUACACACACAUACAUACAUAUAUACAUACAUAUAUACAUACAUACAUACAUACAUACAUACAUACAUACAUACAUACAUACAUACACGAUACGCACAUAUACACACAUGUACACAUACAGACACACAUACGGACACACGCCUUGCAAGUCCCCAGUGCAGCCACAGCAAACCCUGGCAGCCUUAAGCCGCUCCCUCAUUUCGCUCCCUGAUGCUUGCUUUUGCUUGGCUAUAUUGCCCGUACACGGUCGUACCUGCCCCCGACCCUUCGUCCCUCGGGCUGCGAAGCUAUUAUCCUGGCAGCCCACACGCCUGAUGAGGUGCUACUGCCGGUACCGGUGCUGGCGGAGCUACUGCUGCUGCCGUGACUACUGGCGCUGGUGGUGUUGCUGUCAUCGUACGACAUCUUUGGAGAGCCAUGACAAGAUGGCAAGAUGCUGUUGUUUCCCGGCGGUGCCACUACUGCUGCUACUGCUGCUGCUCGUGUUGAAGCUGCUGCUACUGCCGAUGGUUCAGGCGGUGGCAGUAGCUCUAGGUAGUGUUGCAGAUCUGCAACCAGGUCCAGUCAGACACGACCAGACGUGUGUGCCUCAGGAGGAUUGGUGGGAGGGUUGGGGAGGAGGACACAAACCAAUUGAAGGUACGGCAGAUGUACGACAUAUCAUAUUUAAGUGUACGGCUCAUGCGCGCCGCGAGAUACAUGCACUCCUGCCCUCAGCUAGCACAGCCGGGAUGUCAGCAGCGGAUCAUUGGCAUUUUGUUUUAAUGUGCGAUAACUCCUCCCUCCCUCCCUCCCUCCCCCCCUAUCUCCCCCCUCCCUCCCCCUCGCCCUCCUUUCCUAUGAAAUCCGAAACCCCAAUAACCCCCACAGUAAAUCCCCCAGCCUUUCCCUCGCCAGAUGAUCGGAAAUGACAUACGACAUAUGGUACGACACUUCACAACCCGAUCAGACAGCACUGGACGACACCCCACCAUCAAAGCACAAACCCCACCCCACCCUACCCGGUUGUACGACCACCUCCGCAGCCCCUCGUACAUCCACCCGCUCCAGAACCACUCCCGGGGACAGAGCCAGAUCCACCGAGCCACCGCCACUGGCCAGCCAGGCUGUACGGAGGCAAGAUUGGACGAGCACCUGGGACGACGAGCAAAACACCCCACGAAGACAGACACACACACGAUCACACAAAAUUACUCCACAUUCCCACACAGCGGGGAAAGAGUUUUCCUUUUUGGGGGGUUGGGGUGGGGAAUUUUUGGUGUGAAACCAACAAGAAUUGUUAUUCAGUUAACAACGAAUUAACUGCUAACCGACGUUAAAAGCGCCAACUGCUAAAGGGUUUUGGGAGGGGGUUUUGGACCGCCUUUGGUUCCCAUCCGGGGGGGUGGGGACUUGGGUUGCCGCAUUGCGGGCGGAUACCUGUGGUGAGAACACGGCACGGCCAAAGCCAGGCUGAAGUUAACAGGAGGUUUUGAUCUGCCGAUGGAUAUAUGGCCUAAAACGGAAAUAUGCGGCCGGCAGGGAGAUUAGGCGGAGUGUGUGUAUGUAUGUGUGCAUGUAUGUAUGUAUGUAUGUAUGUGUGUGGCGGUAAUAUCUUAUGUUGAUGUUGAGGGAGAGGAAACUUUGUCGGCGAGGUCGGAACACACGUUACUAUCAACGGAUCAGAGCCUUCUGUCGUACAUGUCGUACAUAUCAGUUCACCUUGAUCGGCCCUCCGCCGCUGUCCACCACCACAUCGCCCUCGAGCCCCUCCAGGACUACGGCACCGCCGUACGACAGUAUCUCGGCGCCCCCAGCGCUGCUGUCGCUGCCACCGCCGCCUUCAUCAGCAGCAGCAUGCACAUUGGCGGCGGCGGCGCUGCCACCGCCGUCACCGCCCCCAGUCCCGCAGUCCAACGUGCCAAUACGGAUUGCGCCCCCACCUGUUGUACGGACGCGAAACGGAAACUUACGGUUGGCAGCAGGGUUCGACACCCCGUACGGGGCCCGUAAGUUUUUGGCCUUUUUUCGGUAUCCCCGUAAGGGCCCGUAGGACUUUACAGUGGCCCCCGUAAGGAUUUUGGGGCG